This 113-nucleotide ribosomal RNA is filed under the name Echinops telfairi (small Madagascar hedgehog). Lineage: Eukaryota; Metazoa; Chordata; Mammalia; Afrosoricida; Tenrecidae. The record is from RNAcentral.
UCUAGGGCCCAUACCUCUCUGAGUACACCCAAUUCCCUCUGAACUCAGAACCUACUCAGGGUCUGGCCUGUUUAUAUAGGGGACAACCAGAGCAUAUCUGGGUGUUGCUGCCC